ACGAGCGAGAGAGAGCUUGCUUUCUCAAGCGAGUGGCGAACGGGUGAGUAACGCGUGAGGAACCUGCCUCAAAGAGGGGGACAACAGUUGGAAACGACUGCUAAUACCGCAUAAGCCCACGACCCGGCAUCGGGUAGAGGGAAAAGGAGCAAUCCGCUUUGAGAUGGCCUCGCGUCCGAUUAGCUAGUUGGUGAGGUAACGGCCCACCAAGGCGACGAUCGGUAGCCGGACUGAGAGGUUGAACGGCCACAUUGGGACUGAGACACGGCCCAGACUCCUACGGGAGGCAGCAGUGGGGAAUAUUGCACAAUGGGGGAAACCCUGAUGCAGCGACGCCGCGUGGAGGAAGAAGGUCUUCGGAUUGUAAACUCCUGUUGUUGAGGAAGAUAAUGACGGUACUCAACAAGGAAGUGACGGCUAACUACGUGCCAGCAGCCGCGGUAAAACGUAGGUCACAAGCGUUGUCCGGAAUUACUGGGUGUAAAGGGAGCGCAGGCGGGAAGACAAGUUGGAAGUGAAAUCCAUGGGCUCAACCCAUGAACUGCUUUCAAAACUGUUUUUCUUGAGUAGUGCAGAGGUAGGCGGAAUUCCCGGUGUAGCGGUGGAAUGCGUAGAUAUCGGGAGGAACACCAGUGGCGAAGGCGGCCUACUGGGCACCAACUGACGCUGAGGCUCGAAAGUGUGGGUAGCAAACAGGAUUAGAUACCCUGGUAGUCCACACUGUAAACGAUGAUUACUAGGUGUUGGAGGAUUGACCCCUUCAGUGCCGCAGUUAACACAAUAAGUAAUCCACCUGGGGAGUACGACCGCAAGGUUGAAACUCAAAGGAAUUAACGGGGGCCCGCACAAGCAG
This 853-nucleotide ribosomal RNA is filed under the name uncultured bacterium. Its description in RNAcentral is "bacterial SSU rRNA". It matches the Rfam family "Bacterial small subunit ribosomal RNA", at positions 66 to 932 of the family's 1533-position model. The record is from RNAcentral.